This 862-nucleotide long non-coding RNA is filed under the name Marmota monax (woodchuck). The record is from RNAcentral. Lineage: Eukaryota; Metazoa; Chordata; Mammalia; Rodentia; Sciuridae.
UUUUUUUUUUUUAAGAGAGAGAGAGAGAGAGCGAGAAUUUUUAUUUUUAGUCUUUCGGCGGACACAUCUUUGUUUGCAUGUGGUGCUGAGGAUCGAACCCGGGCCGCACGCAUGCCAGGCAAGCACGCUACCGCUUGAGCCACAUCCCCAGCCCCAAGAGACCCUGUCUCUAAAUAAAAUUCAAAAUAGGGCUGGGAAUGUGGCUCAGUGGUAGAGUGCCCCUGAGUUCAAUCCCUGGGAUCAAAAAAGAACUACCAAGUGAAUCAGACACUCAUAACCGCCUUCAAGUUGUUCGGCAACCUACCCUGUGGAAAAUCAAUGAAAGUUUGGAGGGCUGGGUUUGUGGCUUAGCAGUAGAGCACUCACCUAGCACAUAUGAGACUCUGAGUUCAAUCCUCAGCACCACAUAAAAAUAAAGAUAUUGUGUACACCUACAACUAAAAAAAAAAUAUUUUAAAAAGCAUUCUGUUGCUGGGCACAGUGGUACAUGCCUUCUCAGCAAUUUAGUAAGAAUCUGUGAAAAAAAAAAAAGAACUGCUUAUGUAGCUCACUGGUAAAACUCCCUUGGGUUCAAUCCACAGUACCAAAGAUAAAAGUAUUCUGUUAUGUAUAUGGAUAUACAGGUGAUUCUCAUUAUUCAGAGUAGUUAUAUUUUAUAAAGUCUGUGGACAUGGAAUGGGUGAAUACUAUGACUUGUGCCUGAAUAAAGCUAAUCUGAGGAAUUUUCACUGGAAAGCCUUCCUGUACUUAGGAACACUAAACAGCACUCUUUGGGGCCUUUUAAAGUGGCAAAACAGCAUCAAAUGGUCCAUGAAAAGGACACUUUUUUAUAAUAUGAGGGCUAAAACAAGGCAGAAAGGAC